GUUUUUGUGGUUUUCUGCCGAUGUGGUAUAGUAUUAUGGUAUAAACUCUAUAGAAGAAAAAAAUGAGAGCCACGGAAUGUUACGCACUGCCGGGCCUCCGCGCUCCCCGUCGCCACUUACGCCGCCGCCUCGUGGGCGCACAAGCAGAGCAGCAACAGUGCGCGUGUCGGCUGCGACAUAUGCCUGUCUGACUUUGCCGAUGGCGAGAUCGUCCGGGUGCCACCCUGCUCGACGGUGGCAACGCGACUUUCCAGCGAGAGUGGGCUUGCAGCACUGGCUUGAUGUGGUUCGCUCGUAGUAGAUACGAUUACAUGUCGAUGCAUGGGCGCAGCAAAAGCAAAGCAGACAACUAGCUUACGUAUGCACGUUAAUUCAUCUAAGCUGAUUCCUCUGGGGCCAAAAGCACCAGCCAGUGUUACCUCUCAACUCACUACUCGAGUAGUUUGUGCACGAAAAACUUGACGCGUAGCUAGACACUUGCAGCGACAUGCAACUGACAUGCAUGCAGCUGCCGGACUCGACGCGCACGGCCUCGACACAAAAUAGUGAGCUCGUGCCAUGCUAACUGAAUGGGAAGGAAACGGGAAAAAAAUGAACGGCCUAACUAAUCUAUAAUAUCUAAAUAGUUUAUCUUUACUAUAAUAUUUAUCUUAACAUGCAGCCUAUCCACAUCAACAAUCAACAUGCAAUCAUCCACCUCAGAUCUACGGCACUAAGAUUUGCUAGUUUUACAGUUAGAGGGUCAUUUAUAUACUAUCGAAAAAGUUGAGGGACGAAAAAUAUACUUAUCCGAACCAAAUAUGAAUGUUGGCCCAAAAUAUUACGCCCUUUUACUCCGUGCCAUAGAUCUGAUCGAUGCCAGUGAUCAACCACGUAUCACACAACAACUCUUCCUCCUUCACAUUGAAGCUUUCUUUUCUACUCUUCUUAUUUGAAUCAGUAGGAAAUUCGUCUGGAUCAAGGUCGUCGUCGUCGUGCUCCUGCUGCCGGUGUACGAAUUCGGCUCUAGGGUGUAUGUGCCCAGCUACGUGGCUACGUGUCGGACUGGGUGUACGUGCCUGGCUGCAUGGACUCUGAGUCAUCCACAUACCCGUCCUUGUAGCAGCCCGCGCCUCUGUCAUGGAUCAUCUCAAACAUCUGCACGCUCACGUUGUCGUACGCCGACUCGCCUGGUUGAGACAUAUUGGUGAACAGAUGCGGGCACCGAGCUGCUCCACACCAUACGCCCGCGUCCGGACAUGUUGCGGCGAUGCAGACUCGGAGAAAAUGAGCGGCACCGCGUUGACGUCGAUGCAGUAAGGCACGUGCCCAGCGACAGCGACGGCUCGGGGACUGCCUACUGAGCUACUGGGUAGCGUAGAAGUAUGGAGGCUUGUAUUGCACCGGCUAAGAUGGUGUCUGCAUGGACGGUGAUAGCGAUGGCACCUAGCGUCCCAAGCCUCGCUCUGCACCAUACCCGCCCCCGCACGUCCGCUGCCAUGACUACCACUCCGGCCCACCUUUUGCUACUUGAGUGGCACCGCCUUUGCCUUCGCUUUGAGCUUUGAGGGGCGGUUUUGCCGUGUCGCCGAGUUGAUCUUUCGGACGGCCACGAUCGCUGGAUCCUCCACCGCCGCCUUCUUCGGCAACUUUUCGUAGAGUCCAUGCGGCGGCGGCGAUAAAAAUGGACGGGAACUGGCUGGAGAGUGGCAAGAUGAUAGAGGAGAAAAGGAAAGGGGAAUUUUGCCGUAAAACAAUGCAGCCAUCCCCAAAUGUGUGGGCUCUGCCUCAUUUUUGUAUGUGACAGGGGUGUCACAGUCCUACGUGGUUGGUGUUUGGACUCUCAGAGCUCCCCUAGUUUGCGGGAAAACGAACGUCGGGACUAGUCCGCGAACAUCAUUGGAUGGAUUAUGGGUCCGAACCGCUCGGACAAGUAUUGGAGGUUUGAGGGUUUAUGUUGGAGAUGCCCUUAAGCGAACAUGGAGUUUCUUAGCCCGAGCUCAUAUGAGCUCGGGUUUUCAGGAAAAUGAAAAAAAAAUGUGACAAACCUUAACAAUUUUUGUCAAUGCUUGCAAAUUUUCACCGUGAAAUAACAUUUCUAGAAGCCAUGGCAAAAUAAACAAAAUCAUGCUCCAAAAAAAUUAUUUUCAAAGGCAUCUUGGAGUGAUGAUUUUUCCAAAAAUGUUUUUUUCAAAGGCAUCUUGGAGUGAUGUUUUUUUUUUGCCACCACUUCCAAGAAUGUAGUUUCAUGCUGAAAUUUUGCAAACAUCAAAAACUGUUGUCAAUGUUUGUAACAAAAAAGUCAGAACUUUUUGAAUACUUUUUCAAAUAUCUAUGAGUUUACUGUUCAUCCCGAACUUGUCUCGUCAUUUCGCUGACAAUUUGUUAGUACAACUUGGGACGCCCACUACAAACUUCGUUGUUUGUUCUACUAUCACUUAGGUGAUUUGACCGUAUACAGCCACAGAAUAUAGGUGCUUUAACGGUUUGACCGCGCCUGGAUGGUUGCCUUUCCCACCACGCAGUACACGGAACACCGGUGAAGGUCCAUGCGCACCACCGCUGCCAGUAGACUGGCUGCAAUAUCGGUAAAAGAUUCGCCCUAAUUAUAAAGAAAAUGUUCGGCACAUAACAACUUUAAUGAGCUUCUCAGUGGCAGGAACAGAAAACUCAGCGGCAAACCAAGGGGCAACCGUGCAACCAAAAAUUGCAAAACAGUAAGCCAACGAGGAGUUUUAUGACCAAUAGGAAGUACUACCUCUGUUCCUAAAUAUAAGAUGUUUUAGCAGUUGUGAAAUCGAACUGCCAAAACAUCUUAUAUUUAAGAACAGAUGGUGUAUAUAUCAAAACAACUAAAAAGCGGAUCAUUCAGAGCAACUAAAAAGUGGAUAUAAUACUCAAAGUGAAGAGCCCGAAAGGACCAGCAUCUCUGAGAAAUAAGUUCUGGUGUGCUAAUGCUCAAAUAUCUGAAACUGUUUUAGCAUAUAAAGACCACUCGCAAUCACAAGGAUAGCAUCAACCUUAACAAAUCCUUACUCAAUGUUGGUAACAAAAACAUCAAGGAGGCAACAAACACUGCCAACAAAGGUACUUGAGAAGAACUACAACUAAGACUGUUGGACGAAUGCAUCCAUUCCGGUAGCUUAGAUAGCUUUCCUUGGUGCGACGACGUUAUCAGCCUACCAAAGGAGACAAUAUAUGCAUUAGGAGACACAGCUAGCCAAAACAGCAUAUAAGAACAGACAGCAUUAUAAGAACGUUGGCAAUGUGAUUGAUGUAAGACUGAUUAGAAGGUGAAUCUGAAGAAUCUUGGAAGCUAGAAAUAUUGGACAAAUUUACAAGUUCCAGAUAGGCAAAAACUAAAACAAAUGCAUAAAACGAACAUACCUCCUUCUUCACAGGCUCUUCCUUCUCUGACAAGAUCAGCUCAAUGUGGC
This 3416-nucleotide long non-coding RNA is filed under the name Triticum aestivum (bread wheat). Its description in RNAcentral is "long non-coding RNA (TAES_LNC017862)". The record is from RNAcentral. Lineage: Eukaryota; Viridiplantae; Streptophyta; Magnoliopsida; Poales; Poaceae.